RNAcentral lists this ribosomal RNA (986 nucleotides) under Levilactobacillus brevis. RNAcentral describes it as "bacterial SSU rRNA". It matches the Rfam family "Bacterial small subunit ribosomal RNA", at positions 46 to 1016 of the family's 1533-position model. The record is from RNAcentral. Lineage: Bacteria; Bacillati; Bacillota; Bacilli; Lactobacillales; Lactobacillaceae.
ACGAGCUUCCGUUGAAUGACGUGCUUGCACUGAUUUUAACAAUGAAGCGAGUGGCGAACUGGUGAGUAACACGUGGGAAAUCUGCCCAGAAGCAGGGGAUAACACUUGGAAACAGGUGCUAAUACCGUAUAACAACAAAAUCCGCAUGGAUUUUGUUUGAAAGGUGGCUUCGGCUAUCACUUCUGGAUGAUCCCGCGGCGUAUUAGUUAGUUGGUGAGGUAAAGGCCCACCAAGACGAUGAUACGUAGCCGACCUGAGAGGGUAAUCGGCCACAUUGGGACUGAGACACGGCCCAAACUCCUACGGGAGGCAGCAGUAGGGAAUCUUCCACAAUGGACGAAAGUCUGAUGGAGCAAUGCCGCGUGAGUGAAGAAGGGUUUCGGCUCGUAAAACUCUGUUGUUAAAGAAGAACACCUUUGAGAGUAACUGUUCAAGGGUUGACGGUAUUUAACCAGAAAGCCACGGCUAACUACGUGCCAGCAGCCGCGGUAAUACGUAGGUGGCAAGCGUUGUCCGGAUUUAUUGGGCGUAAAGCGAGUGCAGGCGGUUUUUUAAGUCUGAUGUGAAAGCCUUCGGCUUAACCGGAGAAGUGCAUCGGAAACUGGGAGACUUGAGUGCAGAAGAGGACAGUGGAACUCCAUGUGUAGCGGUGGAAUGCGUAGAUAUAUGGAAGAACACCAGUGGCGAAGGCGGCUGUCUAGUCUGUAACUGACGCUGAGGCUCGAAAGCAUGGGUAGCGAACAGGAUUAGAUACCCUGGUAGUCCAUGCCGUAAACGAUGAGUGCUAAGUGUUGGAGGGUUUCCGCCCUUCAGUGCUGCAGCUAACGCAUUAAGCACUCCGCCUGGGGAGUACGACCGCAAGGUUGAAACUCAAAGGAAUUGACGGGGGCCCGCACAAGCGGUGGAGCAUGUGGUUUAAUUCAAAGCUACGCGAAGAACCUUACCAGGUCUUGACAUCUUCUGCCAAUCUUAGAGAUAAGACGUUC